RNAcentral lists this ribosomal RNA (707 nucleotides) under Desulforamulus profundi. Its description in RNAcentral is "bacterial SSU rRNA". It matches the Rfam family "Bacterial small subunit ribosomal RNA", at positions 838 to 1533 of the family's 1533-position model. The record is from RNAcentral. Lineage: Bacteria; Bacillati; Bacillota; Clostridia; Eubacteriales; Peptococcaceae.
CCGCAGUGCCGUAGUUAACACAAUAAGCACUCCGCCUGGGGAGUACGGUCGCAAGACUGAAACUCAAAGGAAUUGACGGGGGCCCGCACAAGCGGUGGAGUAUGUGGUUUAAUUCGACGCAACGCGAAGAACCUUACCAGGGCUUGACAUCCUCUGAAAGCCAUAGAGAUAUGGACCUUACCCUUCGGGGUAACAGAGAGACAGGUGGUGCAUGGUUGUCGUCAGCUCGUGUCGUGAGAUGUUGGGUUAAGUCCCGCAACGAGCGCAACCCCUAACAUUAGUUGCCAGCGAGUAAGUCGGGAACUCUAAUGUGACUGCCGUUGACAAAACGGAGGAAGGUGGGGAUGACGUCAAAUCAUCAUGCCCCUUAUGUCCUGGGCUACACACGUACUACAAUGGCCGGUACAGACGGAAGCGAAGCCGUGAGGCGGAGCAAAACUGAGAAAGCCGGUCCCAGUUCGGAUUGUAGUCUGCAACUCGACUACAUGAAGUCGGAAUCGCUAGUAAUCGCAGGUCAGCAUACUGCGGUGAAUACGUUCCCGGGCCUUGUACACACCGCCCGUCACACCACGAAAGCUGACAACACCCGAAGCCGGUGASUUAACCGUAAGGAGRSAGCCGUCGAAGGUGGGGUUGGUGAUUGGGGUGAAGUCGUAACAAGGUAGCCGUAUCGGAAGGUGCGGCUGGAUCACCUCCUUUCUAAGGAG